Molecule: ribosomal RNA, 330 nt
Filed under: uncultured bacterium
Lineage: Bacteria
Description: bacterial SSU rRNA
Rfam family: Bacterial small subunit ribosomal RNA
Source: RNAcentral
CGCGUAGGUGGUAGUGUAAGUCUGAGGUGGAAUCCCAGGGCUUAACCCUGGAACUGCCUUGGAAACUGCAUUACUUGAGUCAGUGAGGGGAGGGUAGAAUUCCUGGUGUAGCGGUGAAAUGCGUAGAUAUCAGGAGGAAGGCCUGUGGCGAAGGCGGCCCUCUGGUGCUGGACUGACACUGAGGCGCGGAAGCGUGGGGAGCAAACAGGAUUAGAUACCCUGGUAGUCCACGCCCUAAACGGUGGGCACUAGGUGUAGGGCUCGUAAGGGUUCUGUGCCGAAGGGAAACCAUUAAGUGCCCCGCCUGGGGAGUACGGCCGCAAGGUUGAA